UGGGGAAUAUUGCACAAUGGGCGCAAGCCUGAUGCAGCCAUGCCGCGUGUAUGAAGAAGGCCUUCGGGUUGUAAAGUACUUUCAGUCGGGAGGAAGGUGGUAAGGUUAAUAACCUUAUCAAUUGACGUUACCGACAGAAGAAGCACCGGCUAACUCCGUGCCAGCAGCCGCGGUAAUACGGAGGGUGCAAGCGUUAAUCGGAAUUACUGGGCGUAAAGCGCACGCAGGCGGUUGAAUGAGUCAGAUGUGAAAUCCCCGGGCUUAACCCGGGAAUUGCAUCUGAUACUGGUCAGCUAGAGUCUUGUAGAGGGGGGUAGAAUUCCAUGUGUAGCGGUGAAAUGCGUAGAGAUCUGGAGGAAUACCGGUGGCGAAGGCGGCCCCCUGGACAAAGACUGACGCUCAGGUGCGAAAGCGUGGGGAGCAAACAGG
RNAcentral lists this ribosomal RNA (429 nucleotides) under Chloroflexota bacterium. RNAcentral describes it as "Chloroflexi bacterium partial 16S ribosomal RNA". It matches the Rfam family "Bacterial small subunit ribosomal RNA", at positions 355 to 776 of the family's 1533-position model. Lineage: Bacteria; Bacillati; Chloroflexota. The record is from RNAcentral.